CAAAAUGUAGCUUAAUAAAAGCAUCUCGCUUACACCGAGAAGAUGCCUGUGAAACCCCGGCCAUCUUGA
This 69-nucleotide transfer RNA is filed under the name Dendropsophus praestans. RNAcentral describes it as "tRNA-Val". It matches the Rfam family "tRNA". Rfam says of the family: Transfer RNA (tRNA) molecules are approximately 80 nucleotides in length. Their secondary structure includes four short double-helical elements and three loops (D, anti-codon, and T loops). The record is from RNAcentral. Lineage: Eukaryota; Metazoa; Chordata; Amphibia; Anura; Hylidae.